GAUUAAGCUUCAGUUGUCCGAUUUG
This 25-nucleotide ribosomal RNA is filed under the name Debaryomyces udenii. Its description in RNAcentral is "partial 26S ribosomal RNA". The record is from RNAcentral. RNAcentral also lists the same sequence under 2 other names. Lineage: Eukaryota; Fungi; Ascomycota; Pichiomycetes; Serinales; Debaryomycetaceae.